UUGGUUUUGACUGGUUUUUCCUCUCUUCUCCCUUUCUCUCAAUAGACUUUUCCUUUAAACCGAUUACACUUUCUUCCCUCUCUUUCUAUUUGGAUACUUGGGUCGACUUCUACUUAGCUUCCCUCUCUAACUGUUUCGGUUCUUACACUUCUUCUUUGAACAAUCAGUUGGUGCCUAGUUCUUUUUUCUCUCGCUCUUUUUCUUUAU
RNAcentral lists this long non-coding RNA (207 nucleotides) under Gossypium barbadense (sea-island cotton). RNAcentral describes it as "long non-coding RNA (GBAR_LNC001309)". The record is from RNAcentral. Lineage: Eukaryota; Viridiplantae; Streptophyta; Magnoliopsida; Malvales; Malvaceae.